UUUUCAAAAAGCGAUAGGUUCCACCGAGAUUUGAACUCGGGUCGCAGGAUUCAAAGUCCUGAGUGCUAACCGCUACACCAUGGAACCA
This 88-nucleotide transfer RNA is filed under the name Caenorhabditis elegans. RNAcentral describes it as "Unclassified non-coding RNA C10G8.9". The record is from RNAcentral. Lineage: Eukaryota; Metazoa; Nematoda; Chromadorea; Rhabditida; Rhabditidae.